Molecule: ribosomal RNA, 1323 nt
Filed under: metagenome
Description: bacterial LSU rRNA
Rfam family: Bacterial large subunit ribosomal RNA
Source: RNAcentral
AGUGGAUGGGGAGCAACCUAGUUGUGCGUGUGUAAAGGUAGUGCCAAGAAAAGCGAUGAUCAUGUUGAAAAUCAAUUCCCGGUACCCGAAACCGACACAGGUGGGCAAGUAGAAUACUAAGGGGCGCGAGGUAACUCUCUCCAAGGAACUCGGCAAAAUGACCCCGUAACUUAGGGAGAAGGGGUGCCACCGAGAGGUGGUCGCAGUGAAGAGGCCCAGGCGACUGUUUAGCAAAAACAUAGGUCUCUGCAAACUCGAAAGAGGAGGUAUAGGGGCUGACGCCUGCCCAGUGCCGGAAGGUUAAAGAAGUUGGUCAGUUUUAGGAUGAAGCUAGCGACUGAAGCCCCGGUGAACGGCGGCCGUAACUAUAACGGUCCUAAGGUAGCGAAAUUCCUUGUCGGGUAAGUUCCGACCCGCACGAAAGGCGUAACGAUCUGGGCGCUGUCUCGGAGAGAGGCUCGGCGAAAUAGGAUUGUCUGUGAAGAUACGGACUACCUGCAUUUGGACAGAAAGACCCUAUGAAGCUUUACUAUAGCUUGGAAUUGUGUUCGGGCUUCCUGUGCGCAGGAUAGGUGGGAGGCGUAGAAGGUAUUCUUGUGGGGAUACUGGAGCCAACGGUGAGAUACCACUCUCAGGAGGCUAGAAUUCUAACUUAAUUAAGGACAGUUUCAGGUGGGUAGUUUGACUGGGGCGGUCGCCUCCAAAAAGGUAACGGAGGCGUACAAAGGUUCCCUCAGACUGGUUGGAAAUCAGUCGAAGAGUGCAAAGGCAGAAGGGAGCUUGACUGCGAGAAGUACAGUUCGAGCAGGGUGGAAACACGGUCUUAGUGAUCCGACGGUGCUGUGUGGAAGGGCCGUCGCUCAACGGAUAAAAGUUACUCUAGGAUAACAGGCUGAUCUCCCCCAAGAGUUCACAUCGACGGGGAGGUUUGGCACCUCGAUGUCGGCUCAUCGCAACCUGGGGCGGAAGUACGUCCCAAGGGUUGGGCUGUUCGCCCAUUAAAGCGGUACGUGAGCUGGGUUCAGAACGUCGUGAGACAGUUCGGUCCAUAUCCGAUGUAGGCGUGAGAAUAUUGAGAGGAGCCUUCCUUAGUACGAGAGGACCGGGAAGGACGCACCGCUGGUGUACCUGUUAUGAUGCCAAUUGUAAACGCAGGGUAGCCAAGUGCGGAGAGGAUAACCGCUGAAAGCAUCUAAGUGGGAAGCCCACCUCAAGAUGAGUAUUCUGGUGUAAGGUCACGGGAAGACGACCCGUAAAUAGGCACGAGGUGGAAGUGCAGAGAUGUAUGAAGCCGAAGUGUACUAAUAGACCGUCGGCUUGACC